CCUACGGGGCGCAGCAGUGAGGAAUAUUGGUCAAUGGACGAUAGUCUGAACCAGCCAAGUAGCGUGAAGGAUGACUGCCCUAUGGGUUGUAAACUUCUUUUAUAUGGGAAUAAAAUGUUCCACGUGUGGGAUUUUGUAUGUACCAUAUGAAUAAGGAUCGGCUAACUCCGUGCCAGCAGCCGCGGUAAUACGGAGGAUCCGAGCGUUAUCCGGAUUUAUUGGGUUUAAAGGGAGCGUAGGUGGAUUGUUAAGUCAGUUGUGAAAGUUUGCGGCUCAACCGUAAAAUUGCAGUUGAAACUGGCAGUCUUGAGUACAGUAGAGGUGGGCGGAAUUCGUGGUGUAGCGGUGAAAUGCUUAGAUAUCACGAAGAACUCCGAUUGCGAAGGCAGUUCACUGGACUGCAACUGACACUGAGGCUCGAAAGUGUGGGUAUCAAACAGGAUUAGAUACCCGAGUAGUC
Molecule: ribosomal RNA, 460 nt
Filed under: uncultured bacterium
Lineage: Bacteria
Description: partial 16S ribosomal RNA
Rfam family: Bacterial small subunit ribosomal RNA
Source: RNAcentral